RNAcentral lists this small nucleolar RNA (181 nucleotides) under Carassius auratus (goldfish). RNAcentral describes it as "Small nucleolar RNA SNORA23 (ENSCARG00000014297.1)". It matches the Rfam family "Small nucleolar RNA SNORA23". Rfam says of the family: The members of this family belong to the H/ACA class of snoRNAs which are thought to guide the sites of modification of uridines to pseudouridines. This family includes human snoRNA ACA23 (SNORA23) and mouse snoMBI-1. The record is from Rfam by way of RNAcentral. Lineage: Eukaryota; Metazoa; Chordata; Actinopteri; Cypriniformes; Cyprinidae.
GGUGGACGGUGUGCGUAGUGUCAAUCUACGUCUAGAGCCGUCUCCAGUCUGUGUCUUACAGGCUAUGAAAUGGUUCUCACACCACACUCACAGCCACAGAGCCAAUGGAGAUCAUAGUACUGGCCCAGUGACGUCUAAACGACUACCCACCACUGGCCAGCCUCCAUAGUCUCCUACAAGA